Molecule: long non-coding RNA, 635 nt
Organism: Hevea brasiliensis (rubber tree)
Lineage: Eukaryota; Viridiplantae; Streptophyta; Magnoliopsida; Malpighiales; Euphorbiaceae
Exons: 3
Source: RefSeq, a predicted model, not a curated record
AAGCCCUAAAUUGUGUUUCUAAACGUAACUGCCACCAUCCCUCUUAUUACGUUUUCUUUCUUCAACUUCCAAUACAAAUGCAAUCAAAUCGAUCGAAAACACCAUCCCUCUUUUACGUUGCUGCACUACUUGCAACGAUACCAUUUGUGCUGCUUCUUGUGUGGUUGAAAUCCUAGGUGAGGUGGGCAUUGCCAUUGAUUUUGAGGGCUUGCACUUGUUCUUACAAAUUUGGAUUAAGGUGUUGCUAUUCAGAUUUUGGAAGAGAGGAAGUCCAUUGAUUUUUGCAAAUACCCCUUAUUUAUUCCUACUGAUCUUGAUUUGGAAGCCUACAUUGCUCAUAGGGUUUAUUAAUUUGGAAUUCUCUCCUGAAUCAGCAAUCUUACAAGUUGCGUGGUUGCAUAAAAAUGACUCAAGUCCAAUGAUGGGAGCCCUACUCUCAUUAUCACGCGGUCCUGCUCGAUAUGUGACAUCUUUUUAUGGUUACAUUGUCAAUGGGUAUAGGUUUCAUACUAAAUAUCAUGACCAAGGUUUGAGGACACAAAAUAGUGGAGUUGUUGUAAUUGGAGAUAUUGGUGAUGAAGUUAACAACAUAGAUUACUACGGUGUCUUAACUGAGAUUAUUCAAUUGCAAUAUC